Molecule: ribosomal RNA, 920 nt
Filed under: uncultured bacterium
Lineage: Bacteria
Description: bacterial SSU rRNA
Rfam family: Bacterial small subunit ribosomal RNA
Source: RNAcentral
UGCAAGUCGAGCGGUAACAGAUCCAGCUUGCUGGAUGCUGACGAGCGGCGGACGGGUGAGUAAUGCAUAGGAAUCUGCCCGAUAGUGGGGGAUAACCUGGGGAAACCCAGGCUAAUACCGCAUACGUCCUACGGGAGAAAGGGGGCUCCGGCUCCCGCUAUGGGAUGAGCCUAUGUCGGAUUAGCUAGUUGGUGAGGUAACGGCUCACCAAGGCCACGAUCCGUAGCUGGUCUGAGAGGAUGAUCAGCCACAUCGGGACUGAGACACGGCCCGAACUCCUACGGGAGGCAGCAGUGGGGAAUAUUGGACAAUGGGGGCAACCCUGAUCCAGCCAUGCCGCGUGUGUGAAGAAGGCCCUCGGGUUGUAAAGCACUUUCAGCGAGGAAGAACGCCUAGCGGUUAAUACCCGCUAGGAAAGACAUCACUCGCAGAAGAAGCACCGGCUAACUCCGUGCCAGCAGCCGCGGUAAUACGGAGGGUGCAAGCGUUAAUCGGAAUUACUGGGCGUAAAGCGCGCGUAGGUGGCUUGAUAAGCCGGUUGUGAAAGCCCCGGGCUCAACCUGGGAACGGCAUCCGGAACUGUCAAGCUAGAGUGCAGGAGAGGAAGGUAGAAUUCCCGGUGUAGCGGUGAAAUGCGUAGAGAUCGGGAGGAAUACCAGUGGCGAAGGCGGCCUUCUGGACUGACACUGACACUGAGGUGCGAAAGCGUGGGUAGCAAACAGGAUUAGAUACCCUGGUAGUCCACGCCGUAAACGAUGUCGACCAGCCGUUGGGUGCCUAGCGCACUUUGUGGCGAAGUUAACGCGAUAAGUCGACCGCCUGGGGAGUACGGCCGCAAGGUUAAAACUCAAAUGAAUUGACGGGGGCCCGCACAAGCGGUGGAGCAUGUGGUUUAAUUCGAUGCAACGCGAAGAACCUUA